Molecule: unclassified non-coding RNA, 229 nt
Filed under: uncultured fungus
Lineage: Eukaryota; Fungi
Description: partial contains 18S rRNA, ITS1, 5.8S rRNA, ITS2 and 28S rRNA
Source: RNAcentral
AAGGAUCAUUAACAAGCCGUGAAGGUCGCCCUGAAAAGGGAAUGAUCUUUCACCUGGCCACCCUUGCUUACUUAACCUGUUGCUUUGGUGGGCCCGCCGCAAGGCCGCCGGGGAACCUAGUUCCCGGGCCCGUGCCCACCAAAGUCUUACCGAACUCUCUAACCCUAAGCUGUCUGAGCGUGAAAGCGCAACCAUUUUAAAACUUUCAACAACGGAUCUCUUGGUUCUG